GACGAACCGUGCGAACGUUGUUCGGAAUCACUGGGCUUAAAGGGCGCGUAGGCGGGCUGCCAAGUCUGGGGUGAAAUCCCACGGCUCAACCGUGGAACUGCCUCGGAUACUGGCGGCCUCGAGGGAGGUAGGGGCAUGCGGAACUGUGGGUGGAGCGGUGAAAUGCGUUGAUAUCCACAGGAACUCCGGUGGCGAAGGCGGCAGGCUGGACCUCUUCUGACGCUGAGGCGCGAAAGCCAGGGGAGCAAACGGG
This 253-nucleotide ribosomal RNA is filed under the name uncultured bacterium. RNAcentral's name for it is "partial 16S ribosomal RNA". It matches the Rfam family "Bacterial small subunit ribosomal RNA", at positions 524 to 776 of the family's 1533-position model. The record is from RNAcentral.